Molecule: ribosomal RNA, 465 nt
Filed under: Vreelandella stevensii
Lineage: Bacteria; Pseudomonadati; Pseudomonadota; Gammaproteobacteria; Oceanospirillales; Halomonadaceae
Description: partial 16S ribosomal RNA
Rfam family: Bacterial small subunit ribosomal RNA
Source: RNAcentral
CCUACGGGCGGCAGCAGUGGGGAAUAUUGGACAAUGGGGGGAACCCUGAUCCAGCCAUGCCGCGUGUGUGAAGAAGGCCCUCGGGUUGUAAAGCACUUUCAGUGAGGAAGAACGCCUGGUGGUUAAUACCCAUCAGGAAUGACAUCACUCACAGAAGAAGCACCGGCUAACUCCGUGCCAGCAGCCGCGGUAAUACGGAGGGUGCGAGCGUUAAUCGGAAUUACUGGGCGUAAAGCGCGCGUAGGUGGCUUGAUAAGCCGGUUGUGAAAGCCCCGGGCUCAACCUGGGAACGGCAUCCGGAACUGUCAAGCUAGAGUGCAGGAGAGGAAGGUAGAAUUCCCGGUGUAGCGGUGAAAUGCGUAGAGAUCGGGAGGAAUACCAGUGGCGAAGGCGGCCUUCUGGACUGACACUGACACUGAGGUGCGAAAGCGUGGGUAGCAAACAGGAUUAGAUACCCGGGUAGUC